RNAcentral lists this transfer RNA (73 nucleotides) under uncultured Gammaproteobacteria bacterium. RNAcentral describes it as "tRNA-Ala". It matches the Rfam family "tRNA". Rfam says of the family: Transfer RNA (tRNA) molecules are approximately 80 nucleotides in length. Their secondary structure includes four short double-helical elements and three loops (D, anti-codon, and T loops). Lineage: Bacteria; Pseudomonadati; Pseudomonadota; Gammaproteobacteria. The record is from RNAcentral. RNAcentral also lists the same sequence under 1 other name.
CUAUAGCUCAGCUGGGAGAGCGCCUGCCUUGCACGCAGGAGGUCAGCGGUUCGAUCCCGCUUAGCUCCACCAA